GAUGAACGCUGGCGGCGUGCCUAAUACAUGCAAGUCGAGCGAACAGACGAGGAGCUUGCUCCUCUGACGUUAGCGGCGGACGGGUGAGUAACACGUGGAUAACCUACCUAUAAGACUGGGAUAACUUCGGGAAACCGGAGCUAAUACCGUAUAACAUGUUGAACCGCAUGGUUCAACAGUGAAAGACGGUCUUGCUGUCACUUAUAGAUGGAUCCGCGCCGCAUUAGCUAGUUGGUAAGGUAACGGCUUACCAAGGCAACGAUGCGUAGCCGACCUGAGGGGGUGAUCGGCCACACUGGAACUGAGACACGGUCCAGACUCCUACGGGAGGCAGCAGUAGGGAAUCUUCCGCAAUGGGCGAAAGCCUGACGGAGCAACGCCGCGUGAGUGAAGAAGGUCUUCGGAUCGUAAAACUCUGUUAUUAGGGAAGAACAAAUGUGUAAGUAACUAUGCACGUCUUGACGGUACCUAAUCAGAAAGCCACGGCUAACUACGUG
Molecule: ribosomal RNA, 497 nt
Filed under: uncultured bacterium
Lineage: Bacteria
Description: partial 16S ribosomal RNA
Rfam family: Bacterial small subunit ribosomal RNA
Source: RNAcentral